Small nucleolar RNA from Prunus persica (peach), 102 nucleotides. It matches the Rfam family "Small nucleolar RNA Z103". From Rfam's summary of the family: This family consists of several snoRNA Z103 sequences which are members of the C/D class of snoRNA which contain the C (UGAUGA) and D (CUGA) box motifs. This family seems to be found exclusively in plants. C/D box small nucleolar RNAs are known to act as a methylation guides for 18S ribosomal RNA. Lineage: Eukaryota; Viridiplantae; Streptophyta; Magnoliopsida; Rosales; Rosaceae. The record is from Rfam.
AUGGAAGUGAUGAUUAUUUCCCCAAAUGAUCGAAGCUGAACAAACUGAGCGACUUAUAUCUCUGUAUUAACAGAGACACCAAGCCAGGUGUUUCUGAUCCAU